RNAcentral lists this ribosomal RNA (398 nucleotides) under uncultured bacterium. RNAcentral's name for it is "partial 16S ribosomal RNA". It matches the Rfam family "Bacterial small subunit ribosomal RNA", at positions 359 to 773 of the family's 1533-position model. The record is from RNAcentral.
GAAUAUUGCGCAAUGGGGGAAACCCUGACGCAGCAACGCCGCGUGAGCGACGAAGGCCUUCGGGUCGUAAAGCUCUGUCUAGAGGGAUGAAUUUUGACAGUACCUCUGGAGGAAGCCCCGGCUAACUACGUGCCAGCAGCCGCGGUAAUACGUAGGGGGCAAGCGUUGUCCGGAUUUACUGGGCGUAAAGGGCGCGUAGGCGGUAGUUUAAGUCAGAUGUGAAAGUCCAGGGCUCAACCGUGGAAUUGCAUUUGAAACUGAAUUACUUGAGUGCAGGAGAGGAGAGCGGAAUUCCUAGUGUAGCGGUGAAAUGCGUAGAUAUUAGGAAGAACACCAGUGGCGAAGGCGGCUCUCUGGACUGUAACUGACGCUGAGGCGCGAAAGCGUGGGGAGCGAAC